RNAcentral lists this ribosomal RNA (827 nucleotides) under uncultured Densosporaceae. Its description in RNAcentral is "SSU rRNA". It matches the Rfam family "Eukaryotic small subunit ribosomal RNA", at positions 658 to 1509 of the family's 1831-position model. Lineage: Eukaryota; Fungi; Mucoromycota; Endogonomycetes; Endogonales; Densosporaceae. The record is from RNAcentral.
GGUGGUCCACCAAUGGAUGGUACUGCUCUGGCUGGGGUUCACUUUCUGGUGAGCCGGUAUGCUCUUCACUGGGUGUGCCGAGGAACCAGGACUUUUACUUUGAAAAAAUUAGAGUGUUUAAAGCAGGCCUAUGCUUGAAUACAUUAGCAUGGAAUAAUAGAAUAGGACUUUGGUUCUAUUUUGUUGGUUUCUAGGACCGAAGUAAUGAUUAAUAGGGAUAGUUGGGGGCAUUAGUAUUUAGUAGCUAGAGGUGAAAUUCUUGGAUUUAUGAAAGACUAACUUCUGCGAAAGCAUUUGCCAAGGAUGUUUUCAUUAAUCAAGAACGAAAGUUAGGGGAUCGAAGACGAUCAGAUACCGUCGUAGUCUUAACCAUAAACUAUGCCGACUAGGGAUCAGACGAUGUUACUUUACUGACUCGUUUGGCACCUUAUGAGAAAUCAAAGUUUUUGGGUUCCGGGGGGAGUAUGGUCGCAAGGCUGAAACUUAAAGGAAUUGACGGAAGGGCACCACCAGGAGUGGAGCCUGCGGCUUAAUUUGACUCAACACGGGGAAACUCACCAGGUCCAGACAUAGUAAGGAUUGACAGAUUGAGAGCUCUUUCUUGAUUCUAUGGGUGGUGGUGCAUGGCCGUUCUUAGUUGGUGGAGUGAUUUGUCUGCUUAAUUGCGUUAACGAACGAGACCUUAACCUGCUAAAUAGUUAUGCCAACUUUUGUUGGUAGUCAACUUCUUAGAGGGACUGUCGGCGAUUAGCCGAUGGAAGUUUUAGGCAAUAACAGGUCUGUUAUGCCCUUAGAUGUCCUGGGCCGCACGCGCGCUACACUGAUGA